RNAcentral lists this ribosomal RNA (252 nucleotides) under uncultured bacterium. RNAcentral's name for it is "partial 16S ribosomal RNA". It matches the Rfam family "Bacterial small subunit ribosomal RNA", at positions 524 to 776 of the family's 1533-position model. The record is from RNAcentral.
UACGUAGGGUGCAAGCGUUAAUCGGAAUUACUGGGCGUAAAGCGUGCGCAGGCGGUUAUGUAAGACAGUUGUGAAAUCCCCGGGCUCAACCUGGGAAUUGCAUCUGUGACUGCAUAGCUAGAGUACGGUAGAGGGGAUGGAAUUCCGCGUGUAGCAGUGAAAUGCGUAGAUAUGCGGAGGAACACCGAUGGCGAAGGCAAUCCCCUGGACCUGUACUGACGCUCAUGCACGAAAGCGUGGGGAGCAAACAGG